RNAcentral lists this transfer RNA (70 nucleotides) under Rattus norvegicus (Norway rat). It matches the Rfam family "tRNA". Rfam says of the family: Transfer RNA (tRNA) molecules are approximately 80 nucleotides in length. Their secondary structure includes four short double-helical elements and three loops (D, anti-codon, and T loops). Further hydrogen bonds mediate the characteristic L-shaped molecular structure. tRNAs have two regions of fundamental functional importance: the anti-codon, which is responsible for specific mRNA codon recognition, and the 3' end, to which the tRNAs corresponding amino acid is attached (by aminoacyl-tRNA synthetases). tRNAs cope with the degeneracy of the genetic code in two manners: having more than one tRNA (with a specific anti-codon) for a particular amino acid; and 'wobble' base-pairing, i.e. permitting non-standard base-pairing at the 3rd anti-codon position. The record is from Rfam by way of RNAcentral. Lineage: Eukaryota; Metazoa; Chordata; Mammalia; Rodentia; Muridae.
GGGGAUUUAGCUCAGUGGUAGAGCGCUUGCCUAGGAAGCGCAAGGUCCUGGGUUCAGUCCCCAGUCCCCA